RNAcentral lists this ribosomal RNA (439 nucleotides) under uncultured bacterium. RNAcentral's name for it is "partial 16S ribosomal RNA". It matches the Rfam family "Bacterial small subunit ribosomal RNA", at positions 339 to 795 of the family's 1533-position model. The record is from RNAcentral.
CUACGGGUUGCAGCAGUGGGGAAUUUUGCGCAAUGGGGGAAACCCUGACGCAGCAAUACCGCGUGAGUGAAGAAGGCCCUUGGGUCGUAAAGCUCUUUUCUUGGGGAAGAUAGUGACGGUACCCAAGGAAUAAGCACCGGCUAACUCCGUGCCAGCAGCCGCGGUAAUACGGAGGGUGCAAGCGUUGUUCGGAUUUACUGGGCGUAAAGGGCACGUAGGCGGCACAGCAAGUUAAGGGUGAAAUCCCGGGGCUCAACUCCGGAACUGCUCUUAAAACUGCUGAGCUAGAGAUAGUCAGAGGCGGGUGGAAUUCCAGGUGUAGAGGUGAAAUUCGUAGAUAUCUGGAGGAACACCGGUGGCGAAGGCGGCCCGCUGGGGCUAUUCUGACGCUAAGGUGCGAAAGCGUGGGGAGCAAACGGGAUUAGAUACCCCAGUAGUC